RNAcentral lists this ribosomal RNA (253 nucleotides) under uncultured bacterium. Its description in RNAcentral is "partial 16S ribosomal RNA". It matches the Rfam family "Bacterial small subunit ribosomal RNA", at positions 524 to 776 of the family's 1533-position model. The record is from RNAcentral.
UACGUAGGGACCAAGCGUUGUUCGGAUUUACUGGGCGUAAAGGGCUCGUAGGUGGCCAACUAAGUCAGACGUGAAAUCCCUCGGCUUAACCGGGGAACUGCGUCUGAUACUGGAUGGCUUGAGAUUGGGAGAGGGAUGCGGAAUUCCAGGUGUAGUGGUGAAAUGCGUAGAGAUCCGGAGGAACACCAGUGGCGAAGGCGACACGCUGGGCCGUACCUGACGCUAAAGCGCGACAGCAUGGGGAGCAAACGGG